GUAAAAAAAUCAAAAAUUCUAAUAUAACUUGAAUCCCAGAAAAUAUAUACAACACAUAAAUUUGAAUAAUAUAUGUUAAAUGUUUAAAAUAAAAGAAAAUUUGUUUGGUUUGGAUAUUUAGAUGGAAAAUCAGUUAGUAUUUGGAUAUUUUCGUUGUUUUAAAUAUAUUUUAAUUUUUUGGAUAUUUAUUUUGACUAGUUUUGGAUAUUAUUCAAGUAUUUUGGAUAUAUUUGA
This 234-nucleotide long non-coding RNA is filed under the name Brassica napus (rape). RNAcentral describes it as "long non-coding RNA (BNAP_LNC005573)". Lineage: Eukaryota; Viridiplantae; Streptophyta; Magnoliopsida; Brassicales; Brassicaceae. The record is from RNAcentral.